GGCCUUUUGUACAUUGAAAUAUUAGACUACAGCUGAUUAUGUCUAACUGAAGAGAAAUAGUAAUUGUGCUGACUAAAUCAUUAAGUAUAAAAGCUGUUUUCCAGGCGUCAUGUUUAACAGAGCUAGCAAAUCCGCUACAUAGCUUAACACAUAACACAACACCGAAAAAUGAUUUUCGAAAUUUGGUCAUCAUCUUUCGGAAGAUGUGUUGCAUGUAAACAUAGUGAAGGUUCAGUGAUGUGGCACAAUUCCACCACUUUUGUUAUGUAAUCUCUAAGAAUAUGCAUUUAUGGUAUAAUGAAAAUCCACAUGCAUUGGAUGGCUAACCCCUGCAUUCAUAAAAGACUGGCGUGUUUUGUGUAAUAUCACAGUGUCGCAUCAUUGGGCCAAUUUUUUUCAAAUCUACUGUGACAAGUGCAGUUUACAUCAAAAUGUUUUGAGAAUUUGUGAACCUGCUGGAUGACAAACUUACCCUCGGCUGGUACCAACAGGAUGGCGGCACAUACCACACGUCUUGAUUGACAAUGGCAGAGGUCGACUCAUUUCUCAUUUUUCCCCAGCAGAGUGAUUUAGAAAGGGCUGUACCUCCCCCACCCCCUCCCCAAGGUCACCUGAUUUAACGAAACGACUUUUUCCUCUGGGGUGGCCCAAGAGGGGAGGUCUACAGGAACUAACAGCACAACUUGGAUCUUCUGUGAAAUUAAGGCAGUGAACAGCAGAGGUUCUGGCAGCAACAUUGAAAAACCUGCAGCUGUAUUUACAAGUCGAGAGCUGUCACUUCCAGCAUCUUUGCGAGUCACCUUUAUUUCCCAUGAACAAGUAACAGAAAUAAUGGCAGAAUUGAAGUGCUGAGGAGGGUUGGUAUCGAUCCUGGUGUGUUUACAACAAAAGCAUUUUACACCAUCAACAAGAGCAGAGUCAAGAAAGCUAGCACAUCAGUGACUUACCUGCAAAUACAGGCCAGGCAGAUUCGAAGAGAAACCUGAAGGAUGAGGAGUAUCAGUAUGGAGGAUUUUAAAAUUGAGGAAAUGUUCACAAUGUGUUGCUGUCUUCUGGGAACUAAAAAAUACAAGAUCCUGCAAUUACAUUCUGAUUUUUAGAUGAUUGUAUGCAGAAAAAAAGUUAAUUUUGGAUGUGGAAAAUUAAAAACUCUGUUAAUGAUACAAUUUGUACCAUGAAUUAAUAACUGUAGUACAAUGGUCUUCUAACCUUCUCAGGGCACUACAAUAAAAUUUUCAGAUUGAUUGCAUGAUUAUAAUUUGAG
Long non-coding RNA from Schistocerca cancellata (South American locust), 1264 nucleotides. RefSeq lists it as uncharacterized. The transcript is spliced from 3 exons. NCBI's taxonomy places the organism in Eukaryota, Metazoa, Arthropoda, Insecta, Orthoptera, Acrididae. The record is from RefSeq and is a predicted model, not a curated record.